RNAcentral lists this ribosomal RNA (283 nucleotides) under uncultured bacterium. RNAcentral's name for it is "partial 16S ribosomal RNA". It matches the Rfam family "Bacterial small subunit ribosomal RNA", at positions 233 to 507 of the family's 1533-position model. The record is from RNAcentral.
GAGUGGGUAUUAGCUAGUAGGUGGGGUAACGGCUCACCUAGGCGACGAUCCCUAGCUGGUCUGAGAGGAUGACCAGCCACACUGGAACUGAGACACGGUCCAGACUCCUACGGGAGGCAGCAGUGGGGAAUAUUGCACAAUGGGCGCAAGCCUGAUGCAGCCAUGCCGCGUGUAUGAAGAAGGCCUUCGGGUUGUAAAGUACUUUCAGCGGGGAGGAAGGGAGUAAAGUUAAUACCUUUGCUCAUUGACGUUACCCGCAGAAGAAGCACCGGCUAACUCCGUG